This 492-nucleotide ribosomal RNA is filed under the name uncultured bacterium. RNAcentral describes it as "partial 16S ribosomal RNA". It matches the Rfam family "Bacterial small subunit ribosomal RNA", at positions 29 to 507 of the family's 1533-position model. The record is from RNAcentral.
AGUGAACGCUGGCGGUAGGCCUAACACAUGCAAGUCGAACGGCAGCACAGUAAGAGCUUGCUCUUACGGGUGGCGAGUGGCGGACGGGUGAGGAAUACAUCGGAAUCUACUUUUUCGUGGGGGAUAACGUAGGGAAACUUACGCUAAUACCGCAUACGACCUACGGUUGAAAGCAGUGGAUCUUCGGACCUUGCGCGGUUGGAUGAGCCGAUGUCGGAUUAGCUAGUUGGCGGGGUAAAGACCCACCAAGGCGACGAUCCGUAGCUGGUCUGAGAGGAUGAUCAGCCACACUGGAACUGAGACACGGUCCAGACUCCUACGGGAGGGAGCAGUGGGGAAUAUUGGACAAUGGGCGCAAGCCUGAUCCAGCCAUACCGCGUGGGUGAAGAAGGCCUUCGGGUUGUAAAGCCCUUUUGUUGGGAAAGAAAAGCAGCAGGUUAAUACCCCGCUGUUCCGACGGUACCCAAAGAAUAAGCACCGGCUAACUUCGUG